RNAcentral lists this ribosomal RNA (728 nucleotides) under Pseudomonas jessenii. RNAcentral describes it as "partial 16S rRNA". Lineage: Bacteria; Pseudomonadati; Pseudomonadota; Gammaproteobacteria; Pseudomonadales; Pseudomonadaceae. The record is from RNAcentral.
CCUCAGUGUCAGUAUCAGUCCAGGUGGUCGCCUUCGCCACUGGUGUUCCUUCCUAUAUCUACGCAUUUCACCGCUACACAGGAAAUUCCACCACCCUCUACCAUACUCUAGCUUGUCAGUUUUGAAUGCAGUUCCCAGGUUGAGCCCGGGGCUUUCACAUCCAACUUAACAAACCACCUACGCGCGCUUUACGCCCAGUAAUUCCGAUUAACGCUUGCACCCUCUGUAUUACCGCGGCUGCUGGCACAGAGUUAGCCGGUGCUUAUUCUGUCGGUAACGUCAAAAUUGCAGAGUAUUAAUCUACAACCCUUCCUCCCAACUUAAAGUGCUUUACAAUCCGAAGACCUUCUUCACACACGCGGCAUGGCUGGAUCAGGCUUUCGCCCAUUGUCCAAUAUUCCCCACUGCUGCCUCCCGUAGGAGUCUGGACCGUGUCUCAGUUCCAGUGUGACUGAUCAUCCUCUCAGACCAGUUACGGAUCGUCGCCUUGGUGAGCCAUUACCUCACCAACUAGCUAAUCCGACCUAGGCUCAUCUGAUAGCGCAAGGCCCGAAGGUCCCCUGCUUUCUCCCGUAGGACGUAUGCGGUAUUAGCGUUCCUUUCGAAACGUUGUCCCCCACUACCAGGCAGAUUCCUAGGCAUUACUCACCCGUCCGCCGCUGAAUUCAGGAGCAAGCUCCUGUCAUCCGCUCGACUUGCAUGUGUUAGGCCUGCCGCCAGCGUUCAAU